This 253-nucleotide ribosomal RNA is filed under the name uncultured bacterium. RNAcentral describes it as "partial 16S ribosomal RNA". It matches the Rfam family "Bacterial small subunit ribosomal RNA", at positions 524 to 776 of the family's 1533-position model. The record is from RNAcentral.
UACGUAGGUUGCAAGCGUUGUCCGGAAUUAUUGGGCGUAAAGAGCUCGUAGGCGGUUUGUCGCGUCUGCUGUGAAAAUCCAGGGCUUAACCCUGGACCUGCAGUGGGUACGGGCAGACUAGAGUGCGGUAGGGGAGAUCGGAAUUCCUGGUGUAGCGGUGAAAUGCGCAGAUAUCAGGAGGAACACCGGUGGCGAAGGCGGAUCUCUGGGCCGUAACUGACGCUGAGGAGCGAAAGCAUGGGGAGCGAACAGG